GACCUGCGGAAGGAUCA
This 17-nucleotide ribosomal RNA is filed under the name Graphis sp. Hur JP060061. Its description in RNAcentral is "partial 18S ribosomal RNA". Lineage: Eukaryota; Fungi; Ascomycota; Lecanoromycetes; Ostropales; Graphidaceae. RNAcentral also lists the same sequence under 1 other name. The record is from RNAcentral.